RNAcentral lists this ribosomal RNA (253 nucleotides) under uncultured bacterium. RNAcentral's name for it is "partial 16S ribosomal RNA". It matches the Rfam family "Bacterial small subunit ribosomal RNA", at positions 524 to 776 of the family's 1533-position model. The record is from RNAcentral.
UACGUAGGUGGCAAGCGUUGUCCGGAUUUACUGGGCGUAAAGCGCGUGUAGGCGGCUAUGUAAGUCGGGCGUGAAAGCCCACGGCUCAACCGUGGAAGUGCACCCGAAACUGCGUAGCUAGAGUCCUGGAGAGGAAGGUGGAAUGCUUGGUGUAGAGGUGAAAUUCGUAGAUAUCAAGCGGAACACCGGUGGCGAAGGCGGCCUUCUGGACAGUGACUGACGCUGAGACGCGAAAGCGUGGGGAGCAAACAGG